Molecule: long non-coding RNA, 773 nt
Filed under: Monodelphis domestica (gray short-tailed opossum)
Lineage: Eukaryota; Metazoa; Chordata; Mammalia; Didelphimorphia; Didelphidae
Description: lncRNA (ENSMODG00000051308.1)
Source: RNAcentral
GAGGGGAGAUACAGGAAGGGGAGGAAUGAUUAUGAUAAAUAACGAAGACUAGACCCAGGAACCAAGAUGUGGGAAACCAGGGUGUGGGAAUGGAGAGAAGGGGACAAGUAGGAGAGAUGUUGGGGAGAAAUACUUGACCAUGCUUGAUAUUUUAUUGGAUUUGGAGCAGAGUGAGAGAGAGAGAGAGAGAGAGAGAGAGAGAGAGAGAGAGAGAGAGAGAGAGAAGCAAGGAAGACUUGGAGUUGCCCACUGAGAUACCAGGAAGGAAGGUAGAAAUAAGGAAAUGGAGAAAAAGGAUGAAUUGGGGCAGAGUUAGAAGAGUCUGAUCCAGAAGUUUUUGAGCUUGAGACAACUAUGGAACAACCAAAUACAGAGAUCCAUUAAGCAGCUGGGGAUGCAGGAUUGGAGGUCAGAGAGCUAAGAGCUAAAUGUAUAGAUGUGUGAGUCAUGCCAUGCUCAACCCCUUCAUUUUACAGGUGAAGAAACAGACUAAUGAAGUUAAAUGCCUGCCCAAGAUCGCAUAUGGAUCCACCCAAGAUGGUGCAACCAUGCAGAAGACACUGAGGACCUGCUUCCCAAAGACUGAGAGAACAGAGAAUGUGAGGUCAAUCUGUGUUGGCUUACCACAUCACCAGAUGAGGCAACUGAGGCUGGGGGAGAAGCGGUGACUUGCCCAAGAUCUCACAGGUCUGGAAUGGGGGGGGGCGGCAAAAAUCCUGGCUGGGAGGGAGCCUUGGAGGAGUUUAAUUCAGUUUUCUUUCUCCAGCUUAACC